RNAcentral lists this ribosomal RNA (1335 nucleotides) under metagenome. Its description in RNAcentral is "bacterial SSU rRNA". It matches the Rfam family "Bacterial small subunit ribosomal RNA", at positions 157 to 1498 of the family's 1533-position model. The record is from RNAcentral.
CCGGGGCUAAUACUGGAUAUCACCAGACCGGGCAUCCGGACUGGUUGAAAGGGUUUACUGGUGAGGGAUGGACCCGCGGCCUAUCAGCUAGUUGGUGGGGUAAUGGCCUACCAAGGCGACGACGGGUAGCCGGCCUGAGAGGGCGACCGGCCACACUGGGACUGAGACACGGCCCAGACUCCUACGGGAGGCAGCAGUGGGGAAUAUUGCGCAAUGGACGAAAGUCUGACGCAGCAACGCCGCGUGAGGGAACGAAGGCCUUUGGGUUGUAAACCUCUUUCAGCAGGGACGAAGCGAAAGUGACGGUACCUGCAGAAGAAGCACCGGCUAACUACGUGCCAGCAGCCGCGGUAAUACGUAGGGUGCAAGCGUUGUCCGGAUUUAUUGGGCGUAAAGGGCUCGUAGGCGGUCUGUCGCGUCGGAAGUGAAAACCUGGAGCUCAACUCCAGGCCUGCUUUCGAUACGGGCAGACUAGAGUUCGGUAGGGGAGACUGGAAUUCCUGGUGUAGCGGUGGAAUGCGCAGAUAUCAGGAGGAACACCAAUGGCGAAGGCAGGUCUCUGGGCCGACACUGACGCUGAGGAGCGAAAGCGUGGGUAGCAAACAGGAUUAGAUACCCUGUUAGUCCACGCCGUAAACGGUGGGCGCUAGGUGUGGGGAACAAUCUACGUUUUCCGCGCCGCAGCUAACGCAUUAAGCGCCCCGCCUGGGGAGUACGGCCGCAAGGCUAAAACUCAAAGGAAUUGACGGGGGCCCGCACAAGCGGCGGAGCAUGCGGCUUAAUUCGAUGCAACGCGAAGAACCUUACCUAGGCUUGACAUAUGACCAGAGCAUGCAGAGAUGUAUGUGCAUUUAGUUGGGGUUAUACAGGUGGUGCAUGGCAGUCGUCAGCUCGUGUCGUGAGAUGUUGGGUUAAGUCCCGCAACGAGCGCAACCCUCGUCCUAUGUUGCCAGCGGGUAAUGCCGGGGACUCAUAGGAGACCGCCGGGGUCAACUCGGAGGAAGGUGGGGACGACGUCAAGUCAUCAUGCCCCUUAUGUCUAGGGCUGCACGCAUGCUACAAUGGCCGGUACAAAGGGCUGCGAAAUCGUAAGAUUAAGCGAAUCCCAUAAAGCCGGUCUCAGUUCGGAUUGGGGUCUGCAACUCGACCCCAUGAAGUCGGAGUCGCUAGUAAUCGCAGAUCAGCAACGCUGCGGUGAAUACGUUCCCGGGCCUUGUACACACCGCCCGUCACGUCACGAAAGUCGGUAACACCCGAAGCCGGUGGCCUAACCCUUUACUGGGAGGGAGCUGUCGAAGGUGGGACUGGCGAUUGGGACGAAGUCGGAACAAGGUA